GUCAGUGUGAAACUUUUACUUCUUUCUCCAUCUGUUGUUUUAUGUUCUUCCAUGUGUUCUUUUUCACUCUCUCCUUUCUCUUAUGGUGUAAACGUUUUCACGGUCCCUUAACAUCUCACAUCUCCAAAUGAUCAGUACCUGAUUGGAAGCUGUUACUAUUUUUUCCUCCUUUUCACCAUCCUGCCCAAGCAGUUUUCAAAGAGAAAGGCAACAAUUGUUAAACUGAAUUCCAAAUGAGCCAGCCAAAAAUAGGUCAAAAUUGCUAGUCCCAAUAGAACUGCCUCAUGUAGAACAGUGUGUCCAACUGACUUGGGCUGAAGACCAAUGGAUGCCAUUUUUAAAAUGAUGUUUUGGUGAGAGUGAUCCUGAGAGUCACUUGAUGGAGUGCAAGCCCUUUUCUCUGUCUGACACGCUCUGUGACCUCAGCCAAGUGGCUGACCCUCUCUGUUUCUCUUUGCCUUGUAUGUAAGAUAGAGCUGUUUUUUAUCUGCUUCAUAACACAAUGGGGAGGUGCCAUGGAUCCUUGGCUGCAGAUACUUUGAAACCCAAACAUAAAGGCCAAGUCAGUGGACCUAUUUGAAGUCUUACUUUCCAGCUAGUGGUUGUAAGUCAUCUCAAAAGAAACCAAGCAGUCAAGUCCAAGAGUGUGGAAACAUGAGGCAUUGUUGUACAACCAUUAGAUUCAGAGUCAGGGAGACUGCCAGGGAGCUUUUCUGUCAACAUCAGGAGAUGCGACACAGCCAAGGGCCAGAGAAACCAGAACUCCUGUGUAUAAAGCCCCAAGUUCCCACCUAGGUGUGAUGUGACUUGCAGCUUACCAUGCCCCAAUGUGAUUGAAAUGGCUUAUAAAUAAGAAAACAUGAACAGCUAAUGUGACUAUUUCACAUAGCCCAGUGGCUCUCUGCUAAACUGCACACACCCUGCAUGAUGGAAACUUUAAAUUUAUUUCACAGCAGUAUUUUAUAUAUAUAUAUAUACAACUGAUAUGUGCAGCUCACGGUCAAUGAAAUAGGAAAACCAUGUUGAAAAGUUGCUUACCUCCCAUGGAGCAAAGACUGGCUGAAGGUAAUGAAGAUACCUGGGCACAUGGAUAUUAAUACUCACCAGGCACUUGUGAGUUUAUUUUCCAGAUGAAAACGUGCUUUAAGAGCCUGUCUACUUAGAUGAGCUGCACCAUUUUCUGAGUCUCCGUUUACUUACAGCAAUUGCUGGAUUUUGAGAUGGUUCUCAAAACAUGGAGAUUCCUCCCAUCUUGUAGGCCAAGAAACAGUUCUCAAUGUCACUUAUUCUAAGUUUUGUUUUGUCGGGUGUUUUGGGUUUUUUUUUUUUUUUUUCAGUGAACAUGGUGAACUGCAGAGGUUGAAGUUGUGAAAAGGCUGGGCUAAUAUUCUCUCUGUAAAGUCAAUUAGGCUUUCUAUCCCUGUGAAAUAACCAGGAAAUUUCACUCUCUAAAAGCAACAGCAUGUAAACUAGAAUGGAAGAAGGAAAUUAUGUCUGUAUGCCUACUCUUCUUUGUGAAUGUCUUUCAUUUAACUAAAAUUAUAUUAGAAACCAGAUUGAUAA
This 1563-nucleotide long non-coding RNA is filed under the name Bos taurus (domestic cattle). Its description in RNAcentral is "long non-coding RNA NONBTAT030520". Lineage: Eukaryota; Metazoa; Chordata; Mammalia; Artiodactyla; Bovidae. The record is from RNAcentral.